AAAAAAAUAAGCUAAUUUAAGCUAUUAGGUUCAUACCCUAAAUAUAAAGAUUUUAAUUCUUUUUUUUUUA
RNAcentral lists this transfer RNA (70 nucleotides) under Harpalus pensylvanicus. RNAcentral's name for it is "tRNA-Met". It matches the Rfam family "tRNA". From Rfam's summary of the family: Transfer RNA (tRNA) molecules are approximately 80 nucleotides in length. Their secondary structure includes four short double-helical elements and three loops (D, anti-codon, and T loops). Further hydrogen bonds mediate the characteristic L-shaped molecular structure. tRNAs have two regions of fundamental functional importance: the anti-codon, which is responsible for specific mRNA codon recognition, and the 3' end, to which the tRNAs corresponding amino acid is attached (by aminoacyl-tRNA synthetases). tRNAs cope with the degeneracy of the genetic code in two manners: having more than one tRNA (with a specific anti-codon) for a particular amino acid; and 'wobble' base-pairing, i.e. permitting non-standard base-pairing at the 3rd anti-codon position. The record is from RNAcentral. Lineage: Eukaryota; Metazoa; Arthropoda; Insecta; Coleoptera; Carabidae.